Molecule: ribosomal RNA, 253 nt
Filed under: uncultured bacterium
Lineage: Bacteria
Description: partial 16S ribosomal RNA
Rfam family: Bacterial small subunit ribosomal RNA
Source: RNAcentral
UACGGAGGAUCCGAGCGUUAUCCGGAAUUAUUGGGUUUAAAGGGUGCGUAGGCGGCCAGAUAAGUCAGGGGUGAAAGUCGGCAGCUCAACUGUCGCAGUGCCUUUGAUACUGUUUGGCUUGAAUUCGGUUGAAGAUGGCGGAAUGAGACAAGUAGCGGUGAAAUGCAUAGAUAUGUCUUAGAACUCCGAUUGCGAAGGCAGCUCACUAAGCUGGUAUUGACGCUGAUGCACGAAAGCGUGGGGAUCGAACAGG